GAUGGACCCGCGUCUGAUUAGCUAGUUGGUGAGGUAAUGGCUCACCAAGGCGACGAUCAGUAGCCGACCUGAGAGGGUGAUCGGCCACAUUGGAACUGAGACACGGUCCAAACUCCUACGGGAGGCAGCAGUGGGGAAUAUUGCACAAUGGGCGAAAGCCUGAUGCAGCAACGCCGCGUGAGCGAUGAAGGCCUUCGGGUCGUAAAGCUCUGUCCUCAAGGAAGAUAAUGACGGUACUUGAGGAGGAAGCCCCGGCUAACUACGUGCCAGCAGCCGCGGUAAUACGUAGGGGGCUAGCGUUAUCCGGAUUUACUGGGCGUAAAGGGUGCGUAGGCGGUCUUUUAAGUCAGGAGUGAAAGGCUACGGCUCAACCGUAGUAAGCUCUUGAAACUGGAGGACUUGAGUGCAGGAGAGGAGAGUGGAAUUCCUAGUGUAGCGGUGAAAUGCGUAGAUAU
This 455-nucleotide ribosomal RNA is filed under the name uncultured Clostridium sp. Its description in RNAcentral is "bacterial SSU rRNA". It matches the Rfam family "Bacterial small subunit ribosomal RNA", at positions 224 to 697 of the family's 1533-position model. Lineage: Bacteria; Bacillati; Bacillota; Clostridia; Eubacteriales; Clostridiaceae. The record is from RNAcentral.